This 1407-nucleotide ribosomal RNA is filed under the name oral metagenome. RNAcentral describes it as "bacterial LSU rRNA". It matches the Rfam family "Bacterial large subunit ribosomal RNA", at positions 970 to 2486 of the family's 2925-position model. The record is from RNAcentral.
GAUAUACACGGGAGUGAGGGCAUGGGUGCUAAGGUCCAUGUCCGAGAGGGAAACAACCCGGACCAUCAGCUAAGGUCCCUAAAUAUAUGCUAAGUUGUUCUAACGAGGUUUGACUGCUAUAACAGCUAGGAUGUUGGCUUGGAAGCAGCCAUUCAUUUAAAGAGUGCGUAACAGCUCACUAGUCGAGCGGUCGAGCAUGGAUGAUAAUCGGGCAUAAGCAUAUUACCGAAGCUAUGGACUAUACUUGUAUAGUGGUAGGGGAGCAUUCAUGUUGCGUAGAAGCUGUGUGGUAAUGCAUGGUGGAGCGGCAUGAAAAGAAUAAGGUUUCCUGAUCAACGCUAAUCGGAUCGGGGUUAGUCGGGACCUAAGGCGAACCCGAAAGGGGUAGUCGAUGGACAACAGGUUAAUAUUCCUGUACCGGCAUUUACUGCGACGGGGUGACGAAAUUGUGACAGGUCUGCGUACUGACUGAAUAGUACGUUGAAGGGUGUAGAUAUACGAACGGUAGGCAAAUCCGCCGAUUGUGUCGAACCUGAUAGUACCGCGAGUCUUCGGACAAGCGGAUAUGACCGUAACCAUAUUUCCAAGAAAAACCUCUAAGCUUCAGGUAAUUGCCGCCCGUACCGCAAACCGACACAGGUAGUCAAGUAGAGAAUACUGAGGCGCUCGAGUGAUUCAUGGCUAAGGAACUAGGCAAAAUAGCCCUGUAACUUCGGGAGAAAGGGCGCUCACAUUUAGUGAGCCGCAGUGAAAAGAUUCUGGCGACUGUUUAUCAAAAACACAUGGCUUUGCGAAAUUGAAAGAUGAUGUAUAAGGCCUGACACCUGCCCAGUGCCGGAAGACUGAAGCCCCGGUAAACGGCGGCCGUAACUAUAACGGUCCUAAGGUAGCGAAAUUCCUUGUCGGGUAAGUUCCGACCUGCACGAAUGGUGCAACGAUCAGAAUACUGUCUCGGCCAUGAGCUCGGUGAAAUUGUAGUAUCGGUGAAGAUGCCGAUUACCCGCAACGGGACGGAAAGACCCCGUGAACCUUCACUACAACUUAACAUUGAUCUUGGGUAUGUAAUGUGUAGGAUAGGUCGGAGACUUCGAUCCUGCUUCGCCAGGAGUAGGUUAGUCACCCUUGAAAUACGACCCUUUACAUAUCCGUGGUCUAAUCUGCAUUUGCGGAGACAUUGUUUGGUGGGUAGUUUGACUGGGGUGGUCUCCUCCGAAAAAGUAACGGAGGAUUCUAAAGGUACCCUCAUGACGAUUGGUAACCGUCAGCAGAGUGCAAUGGCACAAGGGUGCUUGACUGUGAGACAGACACGUCGAACAGGUACGAAAGUAGAGCAUAGUGAUCCGGCGAUUCCGCAUGGAAGGGUCGUCGCUCAAAGGAUAAAAGGUACUCCGGGGAUAACAGGCUUAU